CUCAUGGAGAGUUUGAUCCGGGCUCAGGAUGAACACUGGCGGCAUUUUUAACACAUGCAAGUCGUACGGGAAGGAUCCUAGUCGUGUUUCCAGUGGCGCACGGAUGAGUAACGCGUAAGAACCUGCCCUUGGUAGAGGCACAACAGCUAGAGACGGUUGCUAAUUUAGCAACCGUGUAUUAGCAAUGCUAAUACCCCGUAGGCAGAGGAGCAAAAGGAGGAAUCCGUCUAAGGAGGGGCUUGCGUCUGAUUAGCUAUUUGGUGAGGUAAUAGCUUACCAAGGCGACAAUCAGUAGCUGGUCUGAGAAGAUGAUGAGCCACACUGCGACUGAGACACGGCCUAGACUCUUACGGGAGGCAGCAGUGGGGAAUUUUCAGCAAUGGGCGAAAGCUUGACGGGAGCAAUGCCGCGUGGAGGUAGAAGGCUCACGGGUCGUAAACUCCUUUUUCUCAAAGAAGAUGCAAUGACGUUUUUCUCAGAGAAGACGCAUUGACGGUAUCUGAGGGAUAAGCAUCGGCUAACUCUGUGCCAGCAGCCGCGGUAAGACAGAGGAUGCAAGCGUUAUCCGGAACCAUUAGGCGCAAUCUGUCAAACUUCAUGGCUCAACCCUGGACAUGAGGUGGAAACUACCAAGCUGGAGUACGGUAGGCAGAGGGAAUUUCCGAUGGAGCGGUGAAAUGCGUAGAGAUCGGAAAGAACUCCAAUAGCGAAAGCACUGACACUGAGAGACGAAAGCCAGGGUAGCAAAUGGGAUUAGAUACCCCAGUACAUUAGUCCUAGGCUUAAACGAUGGAUACGAAGCGCUGUGCGUAUCAACCCGUGCAGUGCUGUAGCUAACGCGUCAAGUAUCCCGCCUGGGGAGUACGUUCGCAAGAAUGAAACUCAAAGGUAUUGACUGUGAAUCCGUUCCCAGGCCUUGCCGAAGUCGUUACUCUAAACUUAAGGAGGAAAUAUUAAAUAUAAACAAUUUG
This 971-nucleotide non-coding RNA is filed under the name Marchantia polymorpha subsp. ruderalis. RNAcentral's name for it is "Bacterial small subunit ribosomal RNA". It matches the Rfam family "Bacterial small subunit ribosomal RNA", at positions 1 to 991 of the family's 1533-position model. The record is from Rfam by way of RNAcentral. Lineage: Eukaryota; Viridiplantae; Streptophyta; Marchantiopsida; Marchantiales; Marchantiaceae.